This is a long non-coding RNA of Camellia sinensis, 402 nucleotides long. RefSeq lists it as uncharacterized. NCBI's taxonomy places the organism in Eukaryota, Viridiplantae, Streptophyta, Magnoliopsida, Ericales, Theaceae. The record is from RefSeq and is a predicted model, not a curated record.
CACCAAGUUCUCGUUGAUUGAACUGUGAUGCUACAAAUUCUAGAAGCUCUGUGGUGGGUAACACAAAUUUUGUGUCACAAGUUGAGUAACUUGUCUCCACCUCCUCUGUUGCAGUUUUCAGAAAAUCAAAUUGAAUGUAUUUUUGAGAAGUGCAGUGCAAUACAGAUUACCCAACAAAAUCGAAGGAAACUUUUGGAGCUGUAUCAAGUGAAGACAUUAUCAGAAAGUUUCAUUGAUCUUCUUGCUUACUAAGAGAGACUUAAAAGACUUUUGUUCUUUUUUAAAGUGAUGUAAUUUUAUAUUUUGAAGUUGGGAUAUGGGAGUUUUAUGUUUUGAUUAGAUUAGUUUUAAAGUUGUCCUGUUUGCAGAUUGCUAGAAUAGUUAUAGCAAUUGAUUUUCCUA